AAACCAACAGGGAUUGCCUUAGUAACGGCGAGUGAAGCGGCAAAAGCUCAAAUUUGAAAUCUGGCACCUUCGGUGUCCGAGUUGUAAUUUGAAGAAGGAAGAUUUAUGGGUCUUGUCUAAGUUCCUUGGAAAAGGACAUCACAGAGGGUGAGAAUCCCGUGCGAUGAGAUUCCGUAUUGUAAUCUUCCUUCGAAGAGUCGAGUUGUUUGGGAAUGCAGCUCUAAGUGGGUGGUAAAUUCCAUCUAAAGCUAAAUAUUGGCGAGAGACCGAUAGCGAACAAGUACUGUGAAGGAAAGAUGAAAAGAACUUUGAAAAGAGAGUGAAAAAGUACGUGAAAUUGUUGAAAGGGAAGGAUUUGAGAUCAGACUUGGUAUUUUGCAACCUUACUCUCGUGGUGGGGCCCCUGCAGUUUAUCGGGCCAGCAUCAGUUUGGACGAUGGGAUAAUGACUCAGGAAUGUGAUUCUACUUCGGUGGAAAGUUAUAGCCUUUGUUGAUACCGUCUGUCUAGACUGAGGACUGCGUCUUUUGACAAGGAUGUUGGCAUAAUGAUCUUAAAUCAC
This 561-nucleotide ribosomal RNA is filed under the name Priceomyces medius. RNAcentral's name for it is "eukaryotic LSU rRNA". It matches the Rfam family "Eukaryotic large subunit ribosomal RNA", at positions 62 to 648 of the family's 3401-position model. The record is from RNAcentral. Lineage: Eukaryota; Fungi; Ascomycota; Pichiomycetes; Serinales; Debaryomycetaceae.